GUCAAUAAUGCAAGCUACCAUUUUCUGGCAUGGCCAUGAGAAGAGAGCAAGUUGUAGCCUUGUAGACAAGGCACCUGAACUCCAUGCUCGUUAGCUCAUGCACGAGAGCUUGCAAGAUUGCUGGGUGCAUUUGCGUACACGUGUUGUUUGUAGUGUGAUAGCAUCAACAUCAUAUUUCCGGUUGAGUAGUGCUUGCUGCUGGAGAUGAUCUUGUGUUAAAAAAAAUCACAUUCAGCAAUUCCCC
RNAcentral lists this long non-coding RNA (244 nucleotides) under Setaria italica (foxtail millet). Its description in RNAcentral is "long non-coding RNA (SITA_LNC002608)". The record is from RNAcentral. Lineage: Eukaryota; Viridiplantae; Streptophyta; Magnoliopsida; Poales; Poaceae.